This 224-nucleotide long non-coding RNA is filed under the name Callithrix jacchus (white-tufted-ear marmoset). RNAcentral's name for it is "lncRNA (ENSCJAG00000070627.1)". The record is from RNAcentral. Lineage: Eukaryota; Metazoa; Chordata; Mammalia; Primates; Cebidae.
AUGAGGGAUAUGGAGAUGAGGAAUGGGAUUUCUUCAACAUUCAAGCAAGACAAGAACCCCUCCAUGUGCCCAGCCACCUCCCAGGAUACUCCUAGGAAAGACCAAAGAGGACCUCUUGAAAGGGCUGGCUCUCACUCCAGAUAAUUGGUAGGUAAACGCUCGGUGUCUUUAGGAUGUAAUGGGCCAGUGCAGGCAGAGCUGAACAGAGGAAAUUGCUUACUUCA